RNAcentral lists this ribosomal RNA (699 nucleotides) under uncultured bacterium. RNAcentral describes it as "bacterial SSU rRNA". It matches the Rfam family "Bacterial small subunit ribosomal RNA", at positions 66 to 764 of the family's 1533-position model. The record is from RNAcentral.
ACGAGAAUCUGCGGAAAGAGGAUUCGUCCAAUUGAAGCAGAGGACAGUGGCGGACGGGUGAGUAACGCGUGAGGAACCUGCCUUUCAGAGAGGGACAACAGUUGGAAACGACUGCUAAUACCGCAUGACAUAUAGAUGUCGCAUGGCAUUUAUAUCAAAGAUUUAUCGCUGAAAGAUGGCCUCGCGUCUGAUUAGCUAGUUGGUGAGGUAACGGCCCACCAAGGCGACGAUCAGUAGCCGGACUGAGAGGUUGGACGGCCACAUUGGGACUGAGAUACGGCCCAGACUCCUACGGGAGGCAGCAGUGGGGAAUAUUGGGCAAUGGGCGCAAGCCUGACCCAGCAACGCCGCGUGAAGGAAGAAGGCUUUCGGGUUGUAAACUUCUUUUGUCAGGGACGAGUAGAAGACGGUACCUGACGAAUAAGCCACGGCUAACUACGUGCCAGCAGCCGCGGUAAUACGUAGGUGGCAAGCGUUGUCCGGAUUUACUGGGUGUAAAGGGCGUGUAGCCGGGAGGGCAAGUCAGAUGUGAAAUCCACGGGCUCAACUCGUGAACUGCAUUUGAAACUACUCUUCUUGAGUAUCGGAGAGGCAAUCGGAAUUCCUAGUGUAGCGGUGAAAUGCGUAGAUAUUAGGAGGAACACCAGUGGCGAAGGCGGAUUGCUGGACGACAACUGACGGUGAGGCGCGAAAGCGUGG